GGGAACUGCAAUUAUUUGAUACUCGUUACUUAAUCCAACGACGUCGUACGAGUCGCCCCAAAUUCCCACAUUGAACAACGAAUCGACUAUCCUAGUCCGGUUUCCAGCUUCCGAUUCUGAUUCUGCAGCUCUGGCAUCAAGCCCUGAAGUCGGCUCAUCCAUAAAUAUGAUUGAAGGGUUGGCUACAAGUUCAACUGCAAUAGUAAGCCUUUUUCGCUGCUCGGUUGAGAGGCCACUGACUCCUGGCAACCCGACUAGUGCUUCUCUUAAGGGGGUGAGUUCUACAAGGUCCAUAACCUCAUCAACGAAUAGCUGUGAGCAGAAAAGGAGCUAAAAUAUCAGAAUCAAAUCGAGAUAUGAAAAACAAGGCAGGUUAUUGAAUGACAUCUUAUUCAAUUAACCUUUUUAGUUUUCUCAUCAACUUCUUGGGGCAACCUCAACCAAGCUGAGUAAGUGAGGGACUCGUAAACCGUCACAUUUGGAGAAUGGAUGUCGUUUUGCUCACAGUAUCCCGAUAUCCUAGCAAACGUCGCCUGGUUCUUCGGGUAUCCGGAUAUUGUGAUAUGUCCCUCAAUAUAACCCCCAGUUUUUCUUCCGGCUAACACGUCCAUUAACGUAGUUUUACCAGCCCCACUAACACCCAUCAAGGCUGUAAGAACACCUGGCCUGAAAGCACCACUGACACCCUUUAAAAGCUCCAGUUUGUCUUCCGUGGCUCCUUGAACUCUCAUUUCCUGCAAAUUGAAUAGGCAUUUUGUUACUCAUUGACUCGACUCUUUUAGUGACAAAUAAGUCUACCGCCCUUCCUUUUAAAUCUUGAACCUACCGCCGGCAUGUCCACUGAGUAUCUGAUGUCGUCAAAUGUGAGAGAAUGUGGUUCAAAUGGAAGAAUCAUUCCCCUUUUCCGGUUCUCAGUGAGUUCGAUGGCAUCUGAUCUCACAGAUGAAGAUCCAGAUGAGAUGCUUCUCCGCAUGCCCUCACUGCCUUGAGCUGAAUUUCUGCUGAUAGAGCCGCGCACAUGGGAAUCAUCUUCAACUAUUUCGGGACAAAACCACCCAAGGCGAAAAGCAGGAGCAGUGCAAAUAGACCAAAUGUGUUUGCGACAAUCAUGUUCCUACCGGCUGAACCAAUAAACCUGAACAAUCCUGAUGCCGCCUGAUGCAUAAACAGAAGCAGAAGGUACUGCUUCAGUAACCUGCAAAUGGGACUCUUUUUCAGUUACUACAUUUGAAGAAGGGACCGAGAAUAUUAUCUGAGGUGUAUUUUGUAACUGUUACCUUGUUAUGUUUGGGUCGAAUCCAAUCACGUAGUAGGUGACAAAUACCCAUAAAGCAACUUCAAGGAAGGUGACAGGGAUUUUCAGGAUCCAUGAGGGUAUAGCAUAUGCCCAAGGGGGGAAGAAGUACAUAUCCCUUUGUUUGUAGAAUACAGGUAGCUUGUAAAUCGUCAUGGCAAGCUCAGACAUACCGUUGAACAUGACAAGAAUGACAGCGAAAAACAGAGCACCGGUAUAUAUCCCCCCGUCUCCUAUGUCAUCUUUACCCAUCUCUGUUCUCAGGAAGAGUGUAAUCGCAAUCAAUGACAUCACAGAAAUCUGAAACCAGAUAUAGAUAUUUUUCGUUAGCAAAUUUUUUUCAACUAAAUAUAAUAGACAAGCACAUGGUUUCACGUUUAUAAGCUUGCCUGGAAGAUCUUGAAGUAGAAGACAAAUGAGUUUCUCUUCAUCAGCAAGUAUUCUCUGUCGGCACAGGCUUUUAGAAGUUCUUUUUUCCCAAUACCGUACUUCUCUGUUGUCAAAGCUGCAGGGUGGCUUUUGGUCUUAUCAAAUGGGAUUGAGAGCUCAUCUCCAAUCCUCCGUCCAACAACGUAUGAUUGGAAGGCCUCUGCAAAUUCACUAACUGAGACAUAUCGAAAUCAGCCACUCCUUUCCGUACUGGGCAUGCAAAACCCAUGGACUCAAAGAAGUCUAACACAUUUUCUCGAGGACCCUGAUAGACGAUCUGACCAUCGGACAAGAGAACAAUGUCAUCAAACAGAUCAUAGGUCUCGGGUGCUGGCUGCAGCAGGGAGAUAAAUGCAGUUCCUUUCAUAAUGUGGACAUAUUGUCGAAGCAUAUUCACUAUUUGGAAAGUCGUCGAACUAUCCAAACCAGUGGAUAUCUCGUCCAUGAAAAGUGCCUUUGCUGGUCCAACCAGCAUUUCUCCUGUGAUUUUUCACACCAGAAAUCAGUGUCAAGAAAUACCCCUUAUCAUCUCGUCUCCGACUAAAGUGUCGGCACAGAUUUCAAGCCCCAGAACCUGGAAAAAGAACAGGAGAAUCUUGAGAACACUGAGCUAUUGGAAUUGUUAGAAUGCUCAUUAAAUUUCGAGUUUAAUAUCUGCUCCAGGUCAUGCUGGCUUAUGUAUGCUGCAGUUCUUUGAGGUACAAAUUCAUGCAUUUCAUGCCCAUUGUAAGUAAUUCUCCCCGAAACCUGCCCAAAUAUUUCGUUUUCGUACUUCAGAAACACGUUCGAUUCUCUAUCAAUCAUGUCCACACACACACAAAAAAAAGGACUGUUUACUUUGAGGGUUGGAUCAAGCUUUCCGGCCAAAGCAAGCAAAAGUGUAGUUUUCCCAGAACUUGGAGGACCUAACAGCAGAGUCAUUCUGCAUGGUUUGAUAAUUCCACUAACAUCCUUAAGAAUUGUAAAAGGCUUCUUUCUACUUGGAAGUAUGUGUAGUGCGUUCAAGAAUCCCUGCACACACAAAAAAAUGAUUUUUUUUCUAUGUAUAUGUAUAUGUAUGUUCAGUUUCUUGUUUUUGCUUUUACCUCAACCAGAUUUAUGUGGAAGUUGACAAAAGUAGGCAGAGCCCUGCUUGCACUAAAGGCUUCCGCAUCGAUAUUCAGAUGCUCAUACCUCACUUCUAUGGUUGGAAUAUCGAUCCCAACUCUGCAGAUGCAAGAAUUCAUGCAUAUUAGAAAUCAAAGAACUCAAUCAAAAUCAUUCAAAACACACACACACACACCUAUCAAUCCUGUUUCUGAGCUUUAACAAGAACUUCUCAUUAUCUUCUUCCACAGUUUGGACCAGCCUCUCGACGAGCUGCUUCUUGUCUUGGAUUCCCAGAUCAUGCACCUCAACCUCGUUGGCGCCUCUUGAUCCGAGCAGCAAGCCUCUCCUCAGGCGAUCGAACGUGGGCAGUUUCUCGAGCGCAGCCCACUUCAAGGCCUCCUCAUCAUCUUCUUCACGCGAUGAUCGUGUGAACACUUCCAACCCUGUGUUCCUCCAUAUGUUCGAGCUGUUCACUCUGAAGCUUUCACCUCGUUUGCUGCUUGAUCUCAAGCUACCACUCGCUUUGUACAGAUCGCCCGCAUCCAUUCUUGCACCACUCUCUCUCUCUCUCUUCUUUGUUUAGCAGCAGGAGUACUAGAAAAGGGAGUGCUGUGGAAUUCAAGAACUGGGAAGAAAGAGUGCAGUUUCGUUGUUGUGGAAAAAAUGGUGGUGUUUUGUUUGAAGAGGGAGAAAGAUUGUUUUAUACAUAGUUUGUCAAGAUAACAAUUUGAGCCUGCAGUCAAGGAGGGGUUGGAUAUUCAAAAUUUGAGGGAUUUUUUAAUGUUGGAAAUUCUGUUUUUAUUGGAAAUAUUUAACGAUGUUUCUUACUUCUUGGAAAGUGUGGAAUGGCAUUUGUUUUAGUCUUGAUGAUA
This is a long non-coding RNA of Salvia miltiorrhiza (redroot sage), 3684 nucleotides long. RefSeq lists it as uncharacterized. Lineage: Eukaryota; Viridiplantae; Streptophyta; Magnoliopsida; Lamiales; Lamiaceae. The transcript has 6 exons. The record is from RefSeq and is a predicted model, not a curated record.